UUUUUUUUUCUUUUCUUUUUUUUGAAGGAAUUUAUUUCACCACCAAAUUGGUUGCCACUGUAUGCAUUGUUGGAGAAGCAGCAGGGAAUAAGUAAUUGCAGCUCUUCAAAUCUUUUGCCACCUUUUUGCGGAUGUACUCCUAUCACCACAGAGAAAGGCUUCUGAAAGAGAAAUGACGAGAACAAACAACAAAGAGGACAAGAUUAAAUAAGAAAAUGAAUCUGUUAAAGGCCUCAGGCAUCUAUUUAUUAAUGCCAGAUUCCACCUUAUGAGAACUUAAAGGAUGAUCGAGAGCCUAAGCAGCUGCUCAUGCAUGCUUUCUGGAGUAAGUUGGAAGAGAUGGACCACCACGGUGGGAAGUUGGAGCUUUGACUUAGAUUAUUAUUUGAAACCAAAUACGCUGAAAAUCAAUUGUAACUCUUUGACAACAG
This 431-nucleotide unclassified non-coding RNA is filed under the name Hevea brasiliensis (rubber tree). The record is from RNAcentral. Lineage: Eukaryota; Viridiplantae; Streptophyta; Magnoliopsida; Malpighiales; Euphorbiaceae.